Molecule: long non-coding RNA, 1203 nt
Filed under: Nicotiana benthamiana
Lineage: Eukaryota; Viridiplantae; Streptophyta; Magnoliopsida; Solanales; Solanaceae
Description: long non-coding RNA (NBEN_LNC011390)
Source: RNAcentral
GGACAACCUCUUGCCAUAAAACUAAAAGCAAAUAAAAAAUCCUACAGCUUACCUACCCAAGUGUGACCGGCCUAGACAUGCUACUAGCGAUUAAACCUAUAGAACAAAAUAAUUAGCAAGUUAAACUCAACUUUCAUUAUCAAUGUUCGACCCCCAUAUUCAAAGCGACCAAGAAUCCAAUCAAUCUACUUAGAAUGUACUAAAUUAACGCCUAUCAGUAAAUCAAUGAAACAUGGGGUUAAAAAUCAUUUUUAACAAUCAAGACCUAUCCAAAGCAUAUUUAAACUAAACACCUACUAAACAAAGUACAAACAGGGAUCAUAACAUAAGCAAAUAUUACCCAAGACAUUUCAAAAGCAGAACAAAUAUCCACCAAGACAUUUCGAAAGCAGAACCAUUAACAUAACUCGUAUGAUCAACCAAACCAAAGCAAAGACUGAUUAAUGAGAACAUUAAGACACGAAUAUUAAGCAAUAACGAAGUAGUAGAACAUGAGAAACAAACCUCAAACAAAUCUGAAAAUUACUUAUGAGACAGCUUUGCACUCAAAAAUAUGACGGACCGUGGACGGAAUCUCAAUUGCGAUCGAUCUCGAACAAGAACAGGGAACUCGGACCCCACGGAUACUGUUCAAACGACUCUAACUCAAAACAGCUCCAAACUUAACUAGAUUCCAUGUCUCAGAAAUUCAAGACCGAAGAUGAAUGAAUGAAGAAGCUUACAUCCCUUUUUUUUUGUUAUUUUUCUGAUUUUUAAAACGAAAAUAAAACUUGAAUCGUUCCCCUUUUUUUAUUUCUGUCCAGAUUUUCUUCUUAGCCUCUAUCCUCGUCAAUCUCUGUGAUAUUGUGUGUGUGUGUGCGCAUAUUUCUAAGCAGCAGAAUGGUGUGAGAAGAAGAACUGGGUUCAGCCUAGCAGCGGCGGCAAUGGCUGCUAGCGUUGUGGAGUGUGGGCGACUGGUGAAGGGGUGUAAGACUGAAGCUUAGGGGCUCCAGGUUAGAGGUGAUAUUUGACGAGGAGGGGGCUGGUUGGUUCAGGGGUAGACUGCGGCAGUGUAGGGUGGUGUUGACGACGAAGAUGGGACGUUUGGACGUGAACUGGUUCGUUGCUUGUUUCUCCGGCCACUAGAGGAGGUUUGGACGGUCUGUGUUUUUUUUUGAGAACCCGAGUUGCUGCGUCUUCCUUCUCUCUUUUCUAAAGUUCAAC